GAAAAAAAUGAUGAAAAUAGACAAUGACGUAUGGCGUUUAAUACGACUAACUAAGAUAUAAAUGAGUGGCGGGAAUUAUAUUGGACAAACCUCAUAGCUGUGUUGUUGAAUAUGUUCAUUUAAAGUUAGCGCAGAUGCUAACGCGGCCUACCAGGACCGACACAUCCCCGGACUCACCUGCUCCUCCAAUUCGCUCCGGAAACACAGGCAGGCAGCCCGCUUCUUGUAGCCGUCCCCGUCGUACGUUCGGGUCUGGUUGGACUUGAGCUUCAUCAUCGCGGGGCGGAGGUUGGGAGGCGCAGACGUUCCCCCCAACAACAACACUAAAAAGCAGCGGCGAAGUCGAGCACGUCAGCGGGGGCGCGGAGAAGUCCUCCUCCUUGGCAAAUCAGUGGAAAUAACUUCUUCUUCGCUCCAUUUUCACAGAGAGAGAGCUUGGGCGCAUCCGCGGCACGGUCGCCAUUACAAGGAGCCACUGCGCUCACGACGUGUAGAGGGAGAUGUGGCCAGUGCUGCCUGCAGGAGCAAAUGUCACCACCUCUGUCCAUGGUGCUGAGGACAGAGCCCCAUCAGACGGGGUGUGGCAGUGCUGACGGCGAGACACAGCUGGCAGUGAGCGGCCGGGAGCAGGAGGGCAGAGAGGAUACGGACACGGCUGAAAAGUCGCGUCCUUCAGGAGAGAAACUUUUGUUAAAAACCUAUGUUUAUUCACACCUUGUUAAAACCUGCAUGCUGGGCUCCUGUGCCGUGUCUGACAACAGGACUGCGAGGACGCAAUUAUCACACAACGUAACCAAUUACUGGUAUCAGUUAUAGUAAACAAUAACAUGUAAACCAAAAUUAUUUUAUUUGCACAAAUACUUCUCUUUUGUUGGGAAUUGUUCUAAAAUAUUGGCUAUAAUCUUAUUUUGGUUGUGUUUUUUUGUAAACAUUUCCUAAGGCGGCGCCAGAUUUCCAUGCUUUGGCAGCAGUGACAUGACCAGUUUGAAUUGUUUCUCUCGCCUAAAAAAAAUGUCUAGCAUUUUAACAUUAUUGGGGGGGACAAAAAGUACACAAAUAGUUAGUAAGAUUACAAUGCAUUAAUUGACAUUAAAAUUACAAAUAAAACUGCAAUACCAAUUAAAACAUAAAGAAAUACAGGGUGUGUGUACCCUUUUGGAAUAACGCACCCAAAAAGUGAGUUGAAAAAAAUAAAUAAAUGAAAUAACUCCAUCCAUCCAUCCAUCCAUCCAUUUUCUACUGCUUCUCCUUUUCGGAGGUUGCAGGG
Long non-coding RNA from Nerophis ophidion (straightnose pipefish), 1267 nucleotides. RefSeq lists it as uncharacterized. The transcript is spliced from 3 exons. Lineage: Eukaryota; Metazoa; Chordata; Actinopteri; Syngnathiformes; Syngnathidae. The record is from RefSeq and is a predicted model, not a curated record.